CCCUUAGAUGUUCUGGGCCGCACGCGCGCUACACUGUUUGAUUCAGCGAGUCUUAACCUUGACCGAAAGGUUUGGGUAAUCUUCUAAAGUCAAACGUGAUGGGGAUCGAUCAUUGCAAUUAUUGAUCGUGAACGAGGAAUUCCUAGUAAAUGCAAGUCAUCAGCUUGCGUUGAUUACGUCCCUGCCCUUUGUACACACCGCCCGUCGCUACUACCGAUUGAAUGGUUUAGUGAGAUCUCCGGAUUGGCUCUGUGGGUCCCGCAAGGGAUUUAUUAGUAGCCAAGAAGCUGCUCAAACUUGAUCAUUUAGAGGAAGUAAAAGUCGUAACA
Molecule: ribosomal RNA, 329 nt
Filed under: uncultured eukaryote
Lineage: Eukaryota
Description: partial 18S ribosomal RNA
Rfam family: Eukaryotic small subunit ribosomal RNA
Source: RNAcentral